CGAGCGGUAAGGCCCUUCGGGGUACACGAGCGGCGAACGGGUGAGUAACACGUGAGCAACCUGCCCCCGACUCCGGGAUAAGCGGUGGAAACGCCGUCUAAUACCGGAUACGACCGGCCACCUCAUGGUGGCUGGUGGAAAGUUUUCUCGGUUGGGGAUGGGCUCGCGGCCUAUCAGCUUGUUGGUGGGGUAAAGGCCUACCAAGGCGAUUACGGGUAGCCGGCCUGAGAGGGCGACCGGCCACACUGGGACUGAGACACGGCCCAGACUCCUGCGGGAGGCAGCAGUGGGGAAUAUUGCGCAAUGGGCGAAAGCCUGACGCAGCGACGCCGCGUGGGGGAUGACGGCCUUCGGGUUGUAAACCUCUUUUACCACCAACGCAGGCUCCCAGUUCUCUGGGGGUUGACGGUAGGUGGGGAAUAAGGACCGGCUAACUACGUGCCAGCAGCCGCGGUAAUACGUAGGGUCCGAGCGUUGUCCGGAAUUAUUGGGCGUAAAGAGCUCGUAGGCGGCGUGUCGCGUCUGCUGUGAAAGACCGGGGCUUAACUCCGGUUCUGCAGUGGAUACGGGCAUGCUAGAGGUAGGUAGGGGAGACUGGAAUUCCUGGUGUAGCGGUGAAAUGCGCAGAUAUCAGGAGGAACACCGGUGGCGAAGGCGGGUCUCUGGGCCUUACCUGACGCUGAGGAGCGAAAGCAUGGGGAGCGAACAGGAUUAGAUACCCUGGUAGUCCAUGCCGUAAACGUUGGGCGCUAGGUGUGGGGACUUUCCACGGUUUCCGCGCCGUAGCUAACGCAUUAAGCGCCCCGCCUGGGGAGUACGGCCGCAAGGCUAAAACUCAAAGGAAU
This 845-nucleotide ribosomal RNA is filed under the name Nocardiopsis sp. 41829. Its description in RNAcentral is "bacterial SSU rRNA". It matches the Rfam family "Bacterial small subunit ribosomal RNA", at positions 63 to 910 of the family's 1533-position model. The record is from RNAcentral. Lineage: Bacteria; Bacillati; Actinomycetota; Actinomycetes; Streptosporangiales; Nocardiopsidaceae.